RNAcentral lists this ribosomal RNA (468 nucleotides) under uncultured bacterium. RNAcentral's name for it is "partial 16S ribosomal RNA". It matches the Rfam family "Bacterial small subunit ribosomal RNA", at positions 28 to 507 of the family's 1533-position model. The record is from RNAcentral.
GACGAACGCUGGCGGCGUGCUUAACACAUGCAAGUCGAACGGAAAGGCCCUGCUUUUGUGGGGUGCUCGAGUGGCGAACGGGUGAGUAACACGUGAGUAACCUGCCCUUGACUUUGGGAUAACUUCAGGAAACUGGGGCUAAUACCGGAUAGGAGCUCCUGCUGCAUGGUGGGGGUUGGAAAGUUUCGGCGGUUGGGGAUGGACUCGCGGCUUAUCAGCUUGUUGGUGGGGUAGUGGCUUACCAAGGCUUUGACGGGUAGCCGGCCUGGGAGGGUGACCGGCCACCUUGGGACUGGGGUACGGCCCAGACUCCUACGGGAGGCAGCGGUGGUGAAUAUUGCCCAAUGGGCGGCAGCCUGAUGCGGCAGCGCCGCGUGCGGGAUGACGGCCUUCGGGUUGUAAACCGCUUUCGCCUGUGACGAAGCGUGAGUGACGGUAAUGGGUAAAGAAGCACCGGCUAACUACGUG